GAUAUGAACUCUCCGAAAAAAUUACGCUGUUAUCCCUAAGGUAAGUUAAUCUUAUAAUCAAAAAUUCUGGAUCAAAAAAACAUAAAUUAAUGAAUAAAAUAUUAAAAGUUAAAUAAAUUUUAAUGUCACCCCAACAAAACUUUAUAUUCUAAAAAAUUAUUUAAUAAACAAAAAAUAAUAAUUAAUAAAUAAAGUAAACUUCUAUAGGGUCUUCUCGUCCUAUAAAAAAAUUUUAGCUUUUUAACUAAAAGAUUAAAUUCAAAAUAAUUAAAAAAAGAAAGUUUAUUUUUCAUCAAACCAUUCAUACUAGCCUUCAAUUAAAAGACAAAUGAUUAUGCUACCUUCGUACAGUUAAAAUACCGCAGCCUUUUAAUUCAUAAAAAUCAAUGGGCAGGUCUGAUCUUAAAUUAAAAUCAAAAGACC
RNAcentral lists this ribosomal RNA (423 nucleotides) under Gerris babai. RNAcentral's name for it is "partial 16S ribosomal RNA". RNAcentral also lists the same sequence under 1 other name. Lineage: Eukaryota; Metazoa; Arthropoda; Insecta; Hemiptera; Gerridae. The record is from RNAcentral.